CAUGACUGUCACAUGUUCGCCCAAAACUGAGCCCUACAAUGAGUCAUUACGCCCUGGCGGAACGCAAGACUUGGAUAUGCAUGAAUAAGUAAAGAAAAUUACUCCUCCAGACAAGUGGCUUGGACAAUCUCCUCAGAAGACCAAUUCUUGAGAACUUCACCCUGGAUCCUCGGACGAACCCAAUUAUCGAUGUCACAAUCACAAUCACUAUCCCCAUCUUCAUUGUUGACCACAGAGACUAAUCUGACUUCUCCUUCAACCAUGUUAACGUUGGCUCCACCAUGCUGGGGCAUGGGAUUGUUGACGACAUUAGGAGCUGGUGCAAAGUUAACGGCCUUUGAAUCAAUGAGGUCCUGAACUACGUGCUUAAAAGCUUUGCAGUUCUCAAUAUUGUGGCCAGGUGCCCCAAAGUGGAAGCUACACCUAGCGUGCACAAAUUGUAGUUGUUGAAGACUAGAAAGCAACUGAGCGUACGACAUUGAAAGAGUGUCGAAACGCCGGUCGGGGGUCCUUGGCCUCGGUUGAUAGGCGGGUCUGUUACCUGUUGGAAGUAACUCAAGUCUUUCCCUUGUGUUGACUGGUCAUCUAAUUAGAGCCCACAAAGUGUCUUGGAGGAUGUUCAAGCUUCUUGGAUCCGAUUCAGAUUGCCAUGAUGAAAUACAAAUGCUAAAUGACCUAAAAAUGAAUGCAUGCAUGAGGUGUAAAGCGUAUGCUUCCAGGAAAAAUGAAGGGUAAAUUUUGGGGUAUUACCAAUCCCUACACUUCAAAUCCUAAUUCUUCUGUCCAUGGUCCUUGAUGAAACUUGUCGCUCAAGAAACCCUAGUUUGAGGUUCCUUUGAUCCUCAUUUUUUGCCAUCCAAUCACCCUACCACUCAUUCAACAUCAACAACAUCAUUUCAUGUCCAUUACAAACACAACCAACCAUUGAAAUAUCCAUCCAAUCUAUGUUGCGGGUAGUUCGUUCAUACUUGAUUUUUCAACUUUCCAUGACUUGAUCCACCACCAAUUUGACCUAAAAUAAUUCCAAAACAGUCCAAACGUUCAUACUUGAUUAAUGUUGUAUGAACGUCCAUGUGCAUUUCCAGCUUAUAAAGCGCUUCUGGAAAGCCUUAGAGAGCGCUUCCAUAAGCGCCCUCUUAGGCCCCCUUUAGAGGGCGCUUUUUUUCCACAAGCGCCCUCUAAUGUCCCCUUUGGUAAACAUUAAAAUUAUAACAUACUGCGCGUUUUGUUAUGGCAUGGAAAGUUAUUUUCGUUCUUUUUCACGUUAGGGUUCUAAGGCGUUUUCCUUCCACCUCUGUUAGAUCUACAUUAUUACUGCGCGUUUCCUCCUUCUACCAAUCAAAGUAAUGGAUAAUACAUGGAUGUCUUCCAAUCGAUUGUCGAGAGAGUACGAGAAUGGGGUAUAAGAAUGGGGUACGAGAAUGAUCAUAAUGAGGGUAUUUGGAUCAAUCCAACCGUCCGUGUUGUUAAGAGACAUGUAGAACAUAUUCCAACCAAGAAAAGAAAGAGAACUUAGUGAAAAAGGUAAAAAUGGCUAUUAUGAAGUCAAUCAUUCGUGCAAGGGGCAAGGGAUGCUCGAAAGUAUCAAUUGAUAUUUGUUUAGAUGGAGAUGCUCUAUUGUCGUCAAGCCUCAUUCGCGUAGAUGAUGUGCUGGAUAUUUGAAAGUAUCCCUCUACGACAAUGGAACAUGUCCAUCUAAACAUAUAUCAAUUCUAUCUUCAAAAGAUAAGGGACCAAAAAUAUAAGGGGAUUACGCAGCAAAUCGAGUCAGUUGCAUAAAAAGAAAAAGGUUCAUGCUAUUGAUAUUGAACAAAAAGAGGUUGUUGCUAAGAAGACUGCUGCUAGCAAAAAAAACAUACAUCUCAGAGAUGCUUUUGCUACUUAGUUUUAUUUCUUUUUAAGUUAUGAAUUGGUUGUAUAUAGAAUCUUUAGAAGUUAAACGAUUAUAUAUCAGUGGAUUGUUGUAUAUGUAUGGCUUGUUGAAUGCAAUGUGUGAAA
Long non-coding RNA from Lathyrus oleraceus (garden pea), 1998 nucleotides. RefSeq lists it as uncharacterized. The transcript has 4 exons. Lineage: Eukaryota; Viridiplantae; Streptophyta; Magnoliopsida; Fabales; Fabaceae. The record is from RefSeq and is a predicted model, not a curated record.